AGCGAACGCUGGCGGCAGGCCUAACACAUGCAAGUCGAACGAACCUUUCGGGGUUAGUGGCGGACGGGUGAGUAACACGUGGGAACGUGCCUUUAGGUUCGGAAUAACUCAGGGAAACUUGUGCUAAUACCGAAUGUGCCCUUCGGGGGAAAGAUUAAUCGCCUUUAGAGCGGCCCGCGUCUGAUUAGCUAGUUGGUUGAGGUAAUGGCUCACCAAGGCGGCGAUCAGUAGCUGGUCUGAGAGGAUGAUCAGCCACAUUGGGACUGAGACACGGCCCAAACUCCUACGGGAGGCAGCAGUGGGGAAUCUUGCGCAAUGGGCGAAAGCCUGACGCAGCCAUGCCGCGUGAAUGAUGAAGGUCUUAGGAUUGUAAAAGUCUUUCACCGGGGACGAUAAUGACGGUACCCGGAGAAGAAGCCCCGGCUAACUUCGU
Molecule: ribosomal RNA, 433 nt
Filed under: uncultured bacterium
Lineage: Bacteria
Description: partial 16S ribosomal RNA
Rfam family: Bacterial small subunit ribosomal RNA
Source: RNAcentral